AUUGAACGCUGGCGGAAUGCUUUACACAUGCAAGUCGAACGGCAGCACGGGAGCAAUCCUGGUGGCGAGUGGCGAACGGGUGAGUAAUACAUCGGAACGUGCCCAAUCGUGGGGGAUAACGUAGCGAAAGCUACGCUAAUACCGCAUACGAUCUACGGAUGAAAGCAGGGGAUCGCAAGACCUUGCGCGAAUGGAGCGGCCGAUGGCAGAUUAGGUAGUGGUGGGGUAAAGGCUCACCAAGCCUUCGAUCUGUAGCUGGUCUGAGAGGACGACCAGCCACACUGGGACUGAGACACGGCCCAGACUCCUACGGGAGGCAGCAGUGGGAAUUUUGGACAAUGGGCGCAAGCCUGAUCCAGCCAUUCCGCGUGCA
This 373-nucleotide ribosomal RNA is filed under the name uncultured bacterium. Its description in RNAcentral is "bacterial SSU rRNA". It matches the Rfam family "Bacterial small subunit ribosomal RNA", at positions 30 to 405 of the family's 1533-position model. The record is from RNAcentral.